GACGUAGGGGGCCAGCGUUGUUCGGAAUUACUGGGUGUAAAGGGUUCGUAGGCGGUGUGGCAAGUUGGGAGUGAAAUCUUUGGGCUCAACCCAGAGGCUGCUUCCAAAACUGCCAUGCUUGAGUGUGGGAGAGGCGCGUGGAAUUGCAGGUGUAGCGGUGAAAUGCGUAGAUAUCUGCAGGAACACCCGUGGCGAAGGCGGCGCGCUGGCCCACACCUGACGCUGAGGCACGAAAGCUUGGGGAGCAAACAGG
RNAcentral lists this ribosomal RNA (253 nucleotides) under uncultured bacterium. RNAcentral's name for it is "partial 16S ribosomal RNA". It matches the Rfam family "Bacterial small subunit ribosomal RNA", at positions 524 to 776 of the family's 1533-position model. The record is from RNAcentral.